RNAcentral lists this ribosomal RNA (454 nucleotides) under uncultured Porphyromonas sp. Its description in RNAcentral is "partial 16S ribosomal RNA". It matches the Rfam family "Bacterial small subunit ribosomal RNA", at positions 341 to 792 of the family's 1533-position model. The record is from RNAcentral. Lineage: Bacteria; Pseudomonadati; Bacteroidota; Bacteroidia; Bacteroidales; Porphyromonadaceae.
ACGGAAGGCAGCAGUGGGGAAUAUUGCACAAUGGGGGAAACCCUGAACCAGCCAUCUCGCGUGAAGGAAUACGGCCCUACGGGUCUUAAACUUCUUUUAUAGGGGGAUAAAGUGAGGCAUGCAUGCCUUUUUGUAGGUACCCUAUGAAUAAGCAUCGGCUAACUCCGUGCCAGCAGCCGCGGUAAUACGGAGGAUGCGAGCGUUAUCCGGAUUUAUCGGGUUUAAAGGGUGCGCAGGCGGCACGUUAAGUCAGCGGUGAAAUGUCGGGGCUCAACCCGGGCACUGCCGUUGAAACUGGCGAGCUUGAGUACGGAUGAAGUUGGCGGAAUGUGAUGUGUAGCGGUGAAAUGCUUAGAUAUGUCACAGAACACCGAUUGCGAAGGCAGCUGACUAAUCCGCAACUGACGCUCAGGCACGAAAGCGUGGGGAUCGAACAGGAUUAGAUACCCUGGUA